AAUAGAUACCCCGGUAGUCCACGCCGUAAACGAUGGAUACUAGCUGUUUGAGCGCAAGUUUGAGUGGCUAAGCGAAAGUGAUAAGUAUCCCACCUGGGGAGUACGGGCGCAAGCCUGAAACUCAAAGGAAUUGACGGGGGCCCGCACAAGCGGUGGAGCAUGUGGUUUAAUUCGAUGAUACGCGAGGAACCUUACCAGGGCUUAAAUGUAGAUUGACGUAUUUGGAAACAGAUAUUUCUUCGGACAAUUUACAAGGUGCUGCAUGGUUGUCGUCAGCUCGUGCCGUGAGGUGUCAGGUUAAGUCCUAUAACGAGCGCAACCCCUGUUGUUAGUUGCCAGCGAGUAAUGUCGGGAACUCUAGCAAGACUGCCAGUGUAAACUGUGAGGAAGGUGGGGAUGACGUCAAAUCAUCACGGCCCUUACGUCCUGGGCCACACACGUGUUACAAUGGCCGGUACAGAGAGCAGCCACUUAGCGAUAAGGAGCGAAUCUAUAAAGCCGGUCACAGUUCGGAUCGGAGUCUGCAACUCG
This 531-nucleotide ribosomal RNA is filed under the name uncultured bacterium. RNAcentral's name for it is "bacterial SSU rRNA". It matches the Rfam family "Bacterial small subunit ribosomal RNA", at positions 777 to 1314 of the family's 1533-position model. The record is from RNAcentral.